UGGUAGCGCCCUCCCGAAGGUUAAGCUACCUACUUCUUUUGCAACCCACUCCCAUGGUGUGACGGGCGGUGUGUACAAGGCCCGGGAACGUAUUCACCGUAGCAUUCUGAUCUACGAUUACUAGCGAUUCCGACUUCAUGGAGUCGAGUUGCAGACUCCAAUCCGGACUACGACGCACUUUAUGAGGUCCGCUUGCUCUCGCGAGGUCGCUUCUCUUUGUAUGCGCCAUUGUAGCACGUGUGUAGCCCUACUCGUAAGGGCCAUGAUGACUUGACGUCAUCCCCACCUUCCUCCAGUUUAUCACUGGCAGUCUCCUUUGAGUUCCCGGCCGGACCGCUGGCAACAAAGGAUAAGGGUUGCGCUCGUUGCGGGACUUAACCCAACAUUUCACAACACGAGCUGACGACAGCCAUGCAGCACCUGUCUCACGGUUCCCGAAGGCACCAAAGCAUCUCUGCUAAGUUCCGUGGAUGUCAAGAGUAGGUAAGGUUCUUCGCGUUGCAUCGAAUUAAACCACAUGCUCCACCGCUUGUGCGGGCCCCCGUCAAUUCAUUUGAGUUUUAACCUUGCGGCCGUACUCCCCAGGCGGUCGACUUAACGCGUUAGCUCCGGAAGCCACUCCUCAAGGGAACAGCCUCCAAGUCGACAUCGUUUACGGCGUGGACUACCA
RNAcentral lists this ribosomal RNA (670 nucleotides) under Pantoea agglomerans. RNAcentral describes it as "partial 16S ribosomal RNA". Lineage: Bacteria; Pseudomonadati; Pseudomonadota; Gammaproteobacteria; Enterobacterales; Erwiniaceae. The record is from RNAcentral.